Molecule: ribosomal RNA, 253 nt
Filed under: uncultured bacterium
Lineage: Bacteria
Description: partial 16S ribosomal RNA
Rfam family: Bacterial small subunit ribosomal RNA
Source: RNAcentral
UACGGGGGGGGCAAGCGUUGUUCGGAAUUACUGGGCGUAAAGGGCUCGUAGGCGGCCCUCUAAGUCAGACGUGAAAUCCCUCGGCUUAACCGGGGAACUGCGUCUGAUACUGGAGGGCUUGAGUUUGGGAGAGGGAUGCGGAAUUCCAGGUGUAGCGGUGAAAUGCGUAGAUAUCUGGAGGAACACCGGUGGCGAAGGCGGCAUCCUGGACCAACACUGACGCUGAGGAGCGAAAGCCAGGGGAGCAAACGGG